GUCCACGCCGUAAACGAUGCCGGCUCGGUGGGUGGGUCCCGUUCAGGGACCUGGCUGCCUUAGCUCACGCGGUAAGCCGGCCGCCUGGGGAGUACGAGCGCAAGCUUAAAACUCAAAGGAAUUGACGGGGGCCCGCACAAGCAGCGGAGCGUGUGGUUUAAUUCGACGCAACGCGAAGCACCUUACCCAGGCUUGACAUGCAGCUGCACCCGCCUGAAAGGGCGCGCCUUCGAGGGUGCUGCACAGGUGCUGCAUGGUUGUCGU
RNAcentral lists this ribosomal RNA (264 nucleotides) under uncultured bacterium. Its description in RNAcentral is "partial 16S ribosomal RNA". It matches the Rfam family "Bacterial small subunit ribosomal RNA", at positions 793 to 1055 of the family's 1533-position model. The record is from RNAcentral.